UAACCAAGAUCGGCAGGUGAGGGGUGCUC
This 29-nucleotide small RNA is filed under the name Bombyx mori (domestic silkworm). RNAcentral's name for it is "ovarian small RNA-18687". Lineage: Eukaryota; Metazoa; Arthropoda; Insecta; Lepidoptera; Bombycidae. The record is from RNAcentral.